UGUUUGGUUUUUGUCCUUGCGAUAGUUUGCUGAGAAUGAUGGUUUCCAGUGUCAUCCAUGUCCCUACAAAGGACAUGAGCUCAUCCUUUUUUAUGGCUGCAUAGUAUUCCAUGGUGUAUAUGCGCACAUUUUCUUAAUCCAGUCUAUCAUUGAUGGACAUUUGGGUUGGUUCCAAGUCUUUGCUAUUAUGAUUAGUGCCACAAUAAACAUACGUGUGCAUGUGUCUUUAUAGCAGCAUGAUUCAUAAUCCUUUGGGUAUAUACCCAGUAAUGGGAUGGCUGGGUCAAAUGGUAUUUCUAGUUCUAGAUCCUUGAAGAAUCACCACACUGUCUUCCACAAUGGUUGAACUAGUUUACAGUCCCACCAACAGUGUAAAAGUGUUCCUAUUUCUCCACAUCCUCUCCAGCACCUGUUGUUUCCUGACUUUUUAAUGAUGGCCAUUCUAACUGGUAUGAGAUGGUAUCUCAUUGUGGUUUUGAUUUGCAUUUCUCUGAUGGCCAGUGAUGAUGAGCAUUUUUUCAUGUGUCUGUGCCUGUCACUCUUGACUUCUGUGUUAGGAUUCCUUGGGCUGCAUGUAACAGAGAGAAAAGCAUUUUUUCCUACAAGUAGAUGUCUAGAUGUAGGGUUCUGGCACUAGUGCUCCUGCUACAUCAUGUCAAGGUUAGUGUCUGUAGGAUGUCAGGAUUCCCUUGGCUUUUCACUCAUGGCUGCAAGACAGAUGGAGAGCUUCAGACUUUGGGUCCAUUUCAAGGUAGAAAGAAAAGGGGGAAGGGCAAUAUCAGGUUAAGCUGUUCCCUCCUGCUUUUUAUCAGACAUCUUCCCCUGCAGAAUAUGUGGUGUGGCCACCCAUAGCUGCAAGGGAGGCUGGAAGGUGGUUAUUCAGCUUUCUGUCUUCGAGGAUAGGCAAGCUUGGACUACACCUUGGGUGAGCCAAACUGCAGUGUCUGCCACCUUCCAACAAACCAGCCUAAGCCAAAACCCACCAGUAACCCUCCCCUAGUGGAGGGAAACAUUUAGUUCUCUUGGGAGUUGCAGGCAGGUCUGACUUGAGGCACCAUUCUGAGUCAAGCUGGGUGGUGGGGAGGUGGGGUGAGGCAGGAGUGCCUAGCUCUGCUUCCCCAUGGUGUUGCUGGGGGUAGGUACAAACACAGUCACAUCUGCUGUGUCUGGAAAACCAAGACUGGAGUCUCUCAGCUCUCCAGUGCCUGCUUUCCCUGUAGCGAAUUGCAAGGCUCACAUCCCAGGAAAGGCAGCAGAUUAGAUGAGCGCAGGAGCAGAGAGGCUGGGAAUGUGGUGGGGGAGGGAGAAAUGUGGGUUUGGCAGAAUUUUCUAACAUAUCACUUUAUUGAUUUGGAAGACAUACAAGAGAGGAAAUAUAAGAGACAAGUGAUAAGAGGCUCAGCCGAGAUGAGCAUGGAAGAGCCUGCCUUUUUUUUUUUUUUCCUUUAUUGCACACCUAUGGAGCUUUUCUAAGCAUUAAAGAAACACUUCCUUACCCCCCUCCAUGGGAUUUUAAUACCACAGAUACACUGUAUGUCUGUGUGUGUACUCUAUAUGUAUCUGUGUUUAUACAUAAAGGAUGUUUUUUCACUUUUCAAUGUCUUCCAUCCUGGAGGAGACUUUGCCCCCAUUGAGAAUACAUGCAUGAGACACAUCUCUAGAGACACAUCUGGGCUUACUGUGGGAGGAGAAGAGCUGGUCCCACUUUGUCAAACUGUCUUGUAGACAAAGGGAAUUGAGAAGAGUCUUACAUUUCUUGAGCACCUGUUAUGUACUUGGCACCAAGACAGGGGCUUUAGGUCUGACAACUCACCUGAUGCCCAAUGGCAGUUCUGAGUGGUCAGAGCAGGGGCCUCAUUUCACAAAUGACAUCAUCAAGAUUUAGGGGUUCCUCGCUCCUUUGAAGAGAUCCAACCUGCCCAGAUGAACAAGCUAGCACUAUUUCUGAUGACAGGGCAUGGUUGAGUGUCAGAUGGGUUCAGAGCUCAUAGGAUGAGCACAGAAUAGGCUGGAGUCUGUAGUGGUCCUCCCUGGAGGAGAUGGGGUGUGAACUGAGCUCUGCAGGACAGACAGAUGCAGAGAUGAGAAGGGGAGGCAGCACCUGCUGGAGAAGAGCAGGAGCAGAGGCUUAGGGUCUGUAAGGGCCUCUGGCUGCAGGGGAGGAUUUUCGUUGAGAGCUGAGAGAGAUGGAAGCAGAGCCAUUCCAGGCAAAGAUAAAAAGUCCCACCCUGGCAUGUUUAUUCCUCCCCUCUGGUUGUGAUGUAGUAUUGAGCCAGGGAUCCAACUCAGCUAUACUUAGCACCAUUUCCAGAAGGCACGAGGGUGGGAGAUGGGGAUAUAAAAGGCAGGAGUCUGGGGCUCCUCACUCAGAGGCUUCUGAAACCUGAGUGGCAUUUUCAGCGUAUCCCUGUGGAGGAAAUCUCUGAAAGAAGAUACUUUGCUGCAGCUCCUCCUGACAUGAUUGCAUUAGUAAAGAGAGGCGCCAAUAACAAAUGGCCCCCAAAUCUCAGUCGGAUUCUGCAACAAAGG
Molecule: long non-coding RNA, 2529 nt
Organism: Symphalangus syndactylus (siamang)
Lineage: Eukaryota; Metazoa; Chordata; Mammalia; Primates; Hylobatidae
Source: RefSeq, a predicted model, not a curated record